CCGUGCUAGCUGGGGAGGUAGCGGUGCCCUGUACUUGCAAUCCGCUAGAGCAAGAGUGAUGCUAUGUCUGCGGCAGUGGUUUGUUUGGUCUGCCUUUGGAAAGUGGUGUUGAGAGUUCAGUCUUACGCAACAGGUGCUUAUGAAUCGUGUCAGGUCUUGACGGAAGCAGCACUAAGUAAGUUGAUUUGUGUGCCGUAAGGGCGCUGGAUUUGAGCUAACUACUGAAGUAACGCUUGUGAGUCAUUGUCAAAGCAAAGUGCACGG
Molecule: signal recognition particle RNA, 264 nt
Rfam family: Bacterial large signal recognition particle RNA
About the family: The signal recognition particle (SRP) is a universally conserved ribonucleoprotein involved in the co-translational targeting of proteins to membranes. Archaeal SRP consists of a 7S RNA and homologues of the eukaryotic SRP19 and SRP54 proteins.